GACGAACGCUGGCGGCGUGCUUAACACAUGCAAGUCGAGCGGUAAGGCCCUUCGGGUACGACGAGCGGCGAACGGGUGAGUAACACGUGGGUGACCUGCCCUCAGCUCUGGGAUAAGCCUGGGAAACCGGGUCUAAUACCGGAUAUGACUCCAUGACGCAUGUUGUGGGGUGGAAAGCCUUGUGCGGCUGAGGAUGGGCCCGCGGCCUAUCAGCUUGUUGGUGGGGUGAUGG
RNAcentral lists this ribosomal RNA (232 nucleotides) under uncultured bacterium. RNAcentral's name for it is "partial 16S ribosomal RNA". It matches the Rfam family "Bacterial small subunit ribosomal RNA", at positions 28 to 263 of the family's 1533-position model. The record is from RNAcentral.